CUUCCCAAAUUCCCCCAAAUUCCCCCAAAUUCCCCCAAAUUCCCCCAAAUUCCCCCAAAUUCCCGGGAUUGAUGGGAAAAGGCUCCGGGAGGGUUUUGGGGGGUCCCGAGCCUGAUCCCGGCCCCUUUUCCUGACAAAAAUUCCCAAAUUUUUGCAGCCCAAGCUGACCCCGCAGGAGAAGCUCCGGCUCCGGAUGCAGAAGGCGCUCAACAGGCAGUUCAAGGCCGACAAGAAGGCGGCGCAGGAGAAGAUGCUGCAGCAGGAGCACGAGAGACAGGAGCGCGAGGACGAGCUCCGCGCCAUGGCCCGCAAGAUCCGCAUGAAGUAAUUCCCGAUUUUCCUCUC
This is a non-coding RNA of Lonchura striata (white-rumped munia), 345 nucleotides long. The record is from RefSeq and is a predicted model, not a curated record. NCBI's taxonomy places the organism in Eukaryota, Metazoa, Chordata, Aves, Passeriformes, Estrildidae.